RNAcentral lists this long non-coding RNA (1985 nucleotides) under Homo sapiens (human). RNAcentral's name for it is "HSALNT0380941". Lineage: Eukaryota; Metazoa; Chordata; Mammalia; Primates; Hominidae. The record is from RNAcentral.
UGAGAAGCUGCGAAGAUGGCGGAGUAAGGCGUGCCGCUGCAAACUGGCCUCUGGGCCGGGGGCGAGCAGCCCCCGGGAGGCCGAGUGCAUCUGUUGGACCGUGCGAGGAGAAGAAAAAAAAUAUCGGCCAGAGGAGAGGAACUAACCGAACAUUCUUCCUCCCUACCUUAUAGAGGGGAGUGGUCAUCUACACUAAAGCAAAGUGUUAGGCGCGUCCGUGCGAAGAGACCACCAAACAGGCUUUGUGUUCCUUAUCACAGGAAGAAAAUUUUCCUUGACCUUUAGGUGCUUUUAUAUUCAUCUCAAAAACAAAAUUCUGAACUCAGGACUUGGCAAAGACGGGGUUUCACCAUGUUGGCCAGGCUGGUCUUGAACUCCGGACCUGGUGAUCCACCCACUUCGGCUUCCCGAAGUGCUGGGUUUACAGAUGUGUCUCUAUGUUGUCUCCUAGAGUGGGUAGUCCUGCUUCUUUUACCCAGUUACUUUCCCGUUUUUGAAAUGUGGCUAUCACUUCUCUACACAUUACCUCCAUGAUUUGGAAUGGAAAAGGCCACUUUUCUUUUUGUUCUGCCUCUCAAAUUCAACACAGAGGAGCUCCUAGGAUUCCAGUUAUCCUGCUAACAUCUCCAGGAAGAAAGAAGCAACUCACAUGGGUCUUUUGCUGUUUGCUUAAUUAUAAAGACAUCAUUUUGCAAGCAGAAGGCUGAGUUUCAUUUGAAACAGGUGCUUAGGUGGUGGUAUUUGUGAAUACUUUUCAUUCCAAGCAAGAAGACUAAAGAAGUAGCAAGUAUGAAUGACUUCAGGGUUUAAAAAAAAUGUCUUCCAGUUUCAGCCACUACCAUGAUAAGCACAGUUGAGACUGCAGCAGUAAAUUCCAAAUAUGUGUUUCUAAUUUGACGUGAAAGAUACUAAAAAUUUAUAUUUGUAUAUUUAAAUCCUGGCUCAUCCUGUGACAUAGAUUUACUGAAUAGGAACAAAGGCCCAAUUUUAAACAAAAACCUAGGCCGGGUGUGGUGGCUCACACCUGUAAUCCCAACACUUUGGGAGGCCAAGGCAGGCAAAUCACCUGAGGUUGGGAGUUUGAGACCAGCCUGACCAACAUGGAGAAACCCCAUCUCUACUAAAAAUAGAAAAUUAGCCAGGUGUGGUGGUAGAUACGUGUAAUCCCAGCUACUCGUGAGGCUGAGGCAGGAGAAUUGCUUGAAUCCGGGAGGCGGAGGUUGCAGUGAACUGAGAUUGCACCACUGCACUCCAGCCUGGGCGACAGAGUGAGACUCCGUCUCAGAAAAAUAAAAAACAACUUUGGACAUAGAGGAGUUGGGGGCAGAGGGGGGAGGAUGAGAGAAUUUUCCAUGUAACUCCUUUUCCUUAAGAAAAAGAAGCAAAAAUCCCUCAUGCAGUGCCAUCUGACUUUAUGGUGUUUCACAUUAUAUAGUUACUUUUUUUAAUAAACGCAUAAGAUUAACUCUUCCUGCAACCCAAGGUGGAUACUUGGAUGUUUGAUUUUUAUUUAUUUAUUUAUUUAUUUUUUGAGGCAGUCUCUCUCUGUUGCCCAGGCUGGAGUGAUGCGUGAUUUCUGCUCACUGCAGUCUCUCCCACCCGGGUUCAAGCGAUUCUCCUGCCUCAGCCUCCCAAGUAGCUAGGAUUACAGGCGCGCACCACCACGCUCAGCCUGAUUUCUAGGCUGAAAAGGCUGGGACUCAGGUACUUUCCCCAGUUGGGACUGAACUUUCUCAUCAGAGAAUGGGCCUCAGAAGCAAUGUUCCCAAACUUGUGGUUGGGUCAUCGUGGAAAAGAAACCUCAAAUAAGAAAAAUAAUUACAAUAAGAAAUGGAUUUUCUUUUUUCCCACAACAGUUAUACAUUAUAAAGAACAGACUGUCGUAGAAAACUGUCUUUGCUUCCAAAUCAGCAGAGGACCAUUGUAUGUAUUGUCAGGUCUUUAUAUAAGAGUGAAACCUUUAUUUAUGCUUCUUGUGAGUAGAG